Stegodyphus dumicola is the source of this 387-nucleotide long non-coding RNA. The record is from RefSeq and is a predicted model, not a curated record. Lineage: Eukaryota; Metazoa; Arthropoda; Arachnida; Araneae; Eresidae.
AGUUCUUCGCUAAACCCGUUGCUCGAGAGUCUUGUUCGUACUUCUUACGAGAUAAAAACUCCAGAAAAGUGUCAUCAUUUCUUCCACGCUCGGAUAUACUAUCAUUUCAGGAUUCUAUGAACUGUGAUGGACCAUUGAACUCUGUCCUGAAAGCUGAACGUCGUUCACCGAAAGUGUAAAAAAUGGAUGAAGAAAUAAAAACCUAAAAAGGAAUAAAAAUGGCUCAAGUUGCCCAAUCUCCUUUAUCAAAAACAGAUACACAUCAGAAAUUCGAUAAAGCCAAAAUUGGAGAUGGACAAGACAUCAAUAAUUUCCUGUCUCAACAAGAAGCGCUGCGAAGAGCUACGUUGCUGAAGCAUAGAAAAGUUUCUACGCAAUUAAAAGUAU